RNAcentral lists this ribosomal RNA (489 nucleotides) under uncultured bacterium. RNAcentral describes it as "bacterial SSU rRNA". It matches the Rfam family "Bacterial small subunit ribosomal RNA", at positions 28 to 507 of the family's 1533-position model. The record is from RNAcentral.
GAUGAACGCUAGCUACAGGCUUAACACAUGCAAGUCGAGGGCAGCAUGAAAGUAGCUUGCUACUUUUGAUGGCGACCGGCGCACGGGUGCGUAACGCGUAUCCAACUUUCCCGUUACUCUCGGAUAGCCUUCCGAAAGGGAGAUUAAUACGAGAUGGUGUUCAAAUUCCGCAUGUUAUUUGAACUAAAGAUUCAUCGGUAACGGAUAGGGAUGCGUGACAUUAGAUAGUUGGGGGGGUAACGGCCCACCUAGUCUACGAUGUCUAGGGGUUCUGAGAGGAAGGUCCCCCCACACUGGAACUGAGACACGGUCCAGACUCCUACGGGAGGCAGCAGUUGAGGAAUAUUGGUCCAAUGGUCGGAAGACUGAACCAGCCAAGUAGCGUGAAGGAUGAAGGUUCUAUGGAUUGUAAACUUCUUUUAUACGGGAUAAACACUUACGUGUAGGGUCUUGUAUGUACCGUAUGAAUAAGCAUCGGCUAACUCCGUG